Molecule: non-coding RNA, 760 nt
Filed under: Pongo abelii (Sumatran orangutan)
Lineage: Eukaryota; Metazoa; Chordata; Mammalia; Primates; Hominidae
Source: RNAcentral
UUCUGGCCUCCAUCUUUCUCCCAUGCUGGAUGCUUCCUGACCUUGAACAUCAGACUCCAAGUUCUUCAGCUUUUGGACUGUUGGACUUACACCAGUGAUUUGCCAGGGGCUCUUGGGCCUUCAGCCACAGAGUGAAGGCUGUACUGUCAGCUUCCCUACUUUUGAGAUUUUGGGACAUGGACUGGCUUCCUAGCUCCUCAGCUUGCAGACGGCCUAUCAUGGUACUUCACCUUGUGAUCAUGACUGCUGGUAUAGCUUGCCUGGUGGUGGACUUGGAGGAUACCAUUGCAUCAGGGCAUUUCUCCACAUGAUAGCUCCUGCCUGCUGGACAGGUCCUCUCUUGACUAUGUGUAUUCUCCAGAGAAGCAGAUAAUGGCUCUUGUGGGAAUGAGGCUUUUAGGCACUUGGCCGAUGUGGAUCUCAUCUCCUUGCACCUGGGCUGUGCUGCACAGAAUUCCCACAAAGACUCUCACAGAAAAGAAAUACCUCAGGUUGUCCUGCUGGCAUAUUUGGUUUCCCAUCAAGGUCCUUAACAUUUAUAAAAUUGGAUUAAAUAAACCAAUUAAUUUUGAAUAUGAAAAUAAACAGCUGUUAUCAUGGAAAUUGCAUUGAUGUGGAUUCUUCUGAAGGCAUGUCCCUAAAGAACCUGCCAACAAAUUCUGUAAAGGCAGAAUGAACAUUCUGGAAAAUUUAUGUCCUUGUGUAGAAAGCUAGAAAAAAAAAAGAAGAAAAAAGAAACUCUCAGCCUGAAGGCCCACGU